CGAUAUCGCUUCGUCAAGAAGCUUUACCAUGAGAGGUGACACCAGCAUAGCCGCGACGACGUUGGUCGCGCUGUUCUCGACGAGUCCGAGCGCGGCAAGGCAGCUGUAAAAUCGUCACAGGUCUUGCGUCACAGAACACUCGUUCGAGAGCGACAAUGUUGGUCUUACUCCGCGGUUAACACCAGCAGCACGUAAUCGAACGAAAGAUCACCACCGCUGCGAACUCCAUCGACCACCUGCUUCACCGUUAACUUCGACCUGAUCGACCCCACGAAAUCGUCCCAUGCAUUCUUACGAUCCUCCGCCUCCUUCCGUCUGAGGGACACAGAACGCGUGUCGGACUUGAAAUCGUGCUUGACAGAGGAGCAACCGGGAGUUUACCUUUGCCGCCAUCGACCUUCUUGGAGCGCUUCAGUGGCACGCCAAACACAAGCUCGUGCUCGUAACUCAGGGUGGGUAUGCAGACCAGGAAGACGACGCCACCGGGCAUGCCUGCUCCGCAAAUCAGC
Molecule: long non-coding RNA, 509 nt
Filed under: Harpegnathos saltator (Jerdon's jumping ant)
Lineage: Eukaryota; Metazoa; Arthropoda; Insecta; Hymenoptera; Formicidae
Description: uncharacterized LOC112590658, transcript variant X2
Source: RNAcentral